ACCGCUCCUCUCUUGCAUCUCCAUCUUUCCCCUUUCAAUAGCCAUUGUACCACCACUUUUCUAUUCUCGUGUCAUUAUCUCUUCGUCCCUCGAUCCCCUCCAUCUAUUGCCGUCGCCAAUCCUCUCUCCAUCUCCAUCUCCCCCCCCCCAAGAUCGCCGCUGCCACUCGUCUAUCACAUCUCCAUCUACGCUCCAUCCGACUACCGCCGCCCCUCCUCUCUCACAUCUCCAUCUCCAUCCUUCCGCCCACCGCCGCCAUGGGUCGUACGCCUCGUGCCAUGCUACCAAUUGAAACGGAGAGGAACACAGAUCUAACCUAAUCCUUUAGUUGAUUAUCCGCCGCCAUCUAUCUCUACCGGUCGUCGCCACCUUCCUUGUCUUUGAUGCUAUCAUGGGUGGAUCUAUGUCAAUCCACCGCCGUGAGAGACACCGAAGCCAGUUAGCAGUUGAGAAGCGAUGACGGAGCCUAGGCGGUCACCUGACCUACCCGAGAGGUGGCUCCACCACUGGCUGCUACUUUUGAACCCUAAAGAUCCCAGAGGGGAUGGCCGAUGGUGAAGUAGGCAUGAUAGCCCUCUAAAUUUAGGAGUACAGCCGAGAGUUAUAAAUGAGGUGCCAACUGCCAAGUAUGAUGGUGUCUUCACAUGGAACGGCAAUUUGGUAAGUUACAUCUGACGCCUUGCUUGCUUACCAUUUCUCAUAUUAUAAUUUUCUCGUGAUUAUAUGCUGAAAGAAUAAGGUCAUUUAACCAACAAUAUAAGCUACAAUCAUAUCAUGAUUAAUUAUGAUGUGCAUAUAUCAUUAUCAUCUGAUGGAACAAAAUUAUUUUCCAUAAUUUGGGAACAGUGGUCAAUCCAUUAACUCCAAAUUAAAUUUCCUAACAAACGCAAAGUAAAUCAUAAAAGAAAAACGGGCAACAUAUACAGUUUGUUACACCAUUCUCUGCCUAUGACAUCAAUAUUUCUACUAGCAAAAAAUUGCAAAAUAAUCAGCACACUCGACAGCUCUUUCGGCAAGAGCCAUAGUAGUCUGAGCUUCCUAUCAUAAACACCGGAUUCCUGUCACACUCACCACUAGCAGCCCAACUCACACACCUAUCAUCUUCAUCUGUGCACUCAUCCUCGGAUGCAAGUGAUGAUUUUGGAUAAUCAAAUUUUCUCAAAUUUAUAUGUUUUAUGGCUAGCCAUUUCUCUCCUUCGAGGACAGGACAUUCUUCAUAUUGGCUAUCCUUAUCUGUUUCUCCAUCAGGCCUUAAAUUGAACAGCAGUAUUGCAUUGCCCUUGGCUGGUCGCACUGCAUAACCAGAACAUUGAGAUGGUGCCCCCUCCUUAGCUUGAGCAUCCU
Molecule: long non-coding RNA, 1344 nt
Organism: Oryza sativa Japonica Group (Japanese rice)
Lineage: Eukaryota; Viridiplantae; Streptophyta; Magnoliopsida; Poales; Poaceae
Source: RefSeq, a predicted model, not a curated record